UUCAAGGUGGCCCCAGCCACUGCGAAUGAAAAGGGAACUUCGGUGAAAAUCCGAGACUAUACCCGUAGCUGUAAGUUUCUUACCCGUCUGUGCUUUCGUUUAUAACCACUGCCUGAAAAGGUGGGAAGGUUGCACAGAUGAAACAAGUCAGAAGACCUGCCUUUUUCU
This 168-nucleotide non-coding RNA is filed under the name uncultured Bacteroides sp. Lineage: Bacteria; Pseudomonadati; Bacteroidota; Bacteroidia; Bacteroidales; Bacteroidaceae. The record is from RNAcentral.